RNAcentral lists this unclassified non-coding RNA (243 nucleotides) under uncultured fungus. RNAcentral's name for it is "sequence contains ITS2". The record is from RNAcentral. Lineage: Eukaryota; Fungi.
AACGCACAUUGCGCCCGCUAGUAUUCUGGCGGGCAUGCCUGUUCGAGCGUCAUUUCAACCCUCAAGCCCUGCUUGGUGUUGGGGUCCUAUAGUAUUGUAGGCCCUGAAAACUAGUGGCGGGCUCGCUAUAACUCCGAGCGUAGUAGUAAUAUCUCGUUUAGGAAGUGUAGCGGGUUCUAGCCGUUAAACCCCCCAUUUUAUAAGGUUGACCUCGGAUCAGGUAGGAAUACCCGCUGAACUUAA